CCCCUACGGGACGCCGCAGUGGGGAAUAUUGGGCAAUGGGCGCAAGCCUGACCCAGCAACGCCGCGUGAAGGAAGAAGGCCCUCGGGUUGUAAACUUCUUUUGUCAGGGACGAAGCAAGUGACGGUACCUGACGAAUAAGCCACGGCUAACUACGUGCCAGCAGCCGCGGUAAUACGUAGGUGGCAAGCGUUAUCCGGAUUUACUGGGUGUAAAGGGCGUGUAGGCGGGGAAGCAAGUCAGCUGUGAAAUUCCAGG
This 256-nucleotide ribosomal RNA is filed under the name uncultured bacterium. RNAcentral's name for it is "partial 16S ribosomal RNA". It matches the Rfam family "Bacterial small subunit ribosomal RNA", at positions 336 to 606 of the family's 1533-position model. The record is from RNAcentral.